CCAAGGCGACGAUCCCUAGCUGGUCUGAGAGGAUGACCAGCCACACUGGAACUGAGACACGGUCCAGACUCCUACGGGAGGCAGCAGUGGGGAAUAUUGCACAAUGGGCGCAAGCCUGAUGCAGCCAUGCCGCGUGUAUGAAGAAGGCCUUCGGGUUGUAAAGUACUUUCAGCGGGGAGGAAGGGAGUAAAGUUAAUACCUUUGCUCAUUGACGUUACCCGCAGAAGAAGCACCGGCUAACUCCGUGCCAGCAGCCGCGGUAAUACGGAGGGUGCAAGCGUUAAUCGGAAUUACUGGGCGUAAAGCGCACGCAGGCGGUUUGUUAAGUCAGAUGUGAAAUCCCCGGGCUCAACCUGGGAACUGCAUCUGAUACUGGCAAGCUUGAGUCUCGUAGAGGGGGGUAGAAUUCCAGGUGUAGCGGUGAAAUGCGUAGAGAUCUGGAGGA
RNAcentral lists this ribosomal RNA (445 nucleotides) under Escherichia coli. RNAcentral describes it as "bacterial SSU rRNA". It matches the Rfam family "Bacterial small subunit ribosomal RNA", at positions 268 to 705 of the family's 1533-position model. Lineage: Bacteria; Pseudomonadati; Pseudomonadota; Gammaproteobacteria; Enterobacterales; Enterobacteriaceae. The record is from RNAcentral.